This 253-nucleotide ribosomal RNA is filed under the name uncultured bacterium. RNAcentral describes it as "partial 16S ribosomal RNA". It matches the Rfam family "Bacterial small subunit ribosomal RNA", at positions 524 to 776 of the family's 1533-position model. The record is from RNAcentral.
UACGAGGGGCGCAAGUGUUGUUCGGAAUCACUGGGCGUAAAGGGAGCGUAGGCGGGCUUUUAAGUGAGGUGUUUAAUCCCGGGGCCCAACCCCGGACCGGCACCUCAAACUGGGAGUCUUGAAUAGUGGAGAGGUCAGUGGAAUUGGGGGUGUAGCGGUGGAAUGCGUAGAGAUCCCCAAGAACACCGGUUGCGAAGGCGGCUGACUGGACACAUAUUGACGCUGAGGCUCGAAAGCAUGGGGAGCAAACAGG